ACUUUUUGAAUAAACUCCAGGAAACGACGAGAGUAGAAUGUAGGGUCCACAGCUGAGAUAGACAAUGAAUCAAACUGAAGAGAUUUAUAAGCAUGUUCAAUCUUCUUGGUCAUGUUAUAGUCCUGCAAUAUAUCAAUGAUACCCAGGUACAGCACCACAUCGUACACCUCCUGGAACUUUGCUUUUUCUUGUUUAUCUGAAAUCUGCUCUGCCCUUGAAGGCAUGUUCACACCAAGCUGGAUUUGGAGUCUGUUUAACAAAUUCAGAAGACAAAUAUGCAUAUGGGUAUUUGCAGUAUUGUGGCAAUGAUACAAAAUUAUAGAGUAAAGGAAUCAUUAUAAUCAUUAAAAUCCUGAAUAGAAUAGUUUGAAUAGUCUACAUUAUAAGUAACACGUGUGACAAUUUCAAGAAAAUAAAUAACCAAUUUAUCUGUUAUACCGAACCCUUUCGAUCAUAUUCUAUCUGAUUUGUGUUAAACUUAGAUACAGUCUCAGAGUGUUAUUUAUGCUGUUUUCCUAUCAAAUCUAAACUUUCACUUUGAUCAUCUAUAUAAUCGUUCAUACAAAAUUUUUAUUAGAUAUGUUACUUAGGUGAAAUUUGAAUUCUGAUUGAAAAAUAAUAUGAACACCUAAAGAAUUGUAUAUAAGUUUUGUCCUUUGAUCUAACCUGCAUAUGCUGUGAACAAGAGAACUCUCAAACAGUCUAGCUAACCUGAGUUAUUUAACUUGAAGAUUAAAGGCCAAGGCAAAGUAAUUAAGAAACCACACCUUGCUGUACCAGGUAAGAGUAGAUCCACCUCCUCAUCACCAGCAGAUGAAGCCCGCAACCGACUACCCCUCACAUGUGAGCCCACAACAACACUGUUAUCAUCUGCUCCUCUAGGAACUAGAACAAGACCUUGUGGAUAGGAUGCUUCAUCCUCCAGAG
RNAcentral lists this long non-coding RNA (927 nucleotides) under Vigna radiata. Its description in RNAcentral is "long non-coding RNA (VRAD_LNC002411)". The record is from RNAcentral. Lineage: Eukaryota; Viridiplantae; Streptophyta; Magnoliopsida; Fabales; Fabaceae.